UGGGGGAUAUUGCACAAUGGGCGAAAGCCUGAUGCAGCGACGCCGCGUGGGGGAUGAAGGCUUUCGGGUUGUAAACCUCUUUCGCUAUCGAACAAGGCCCGCUUAGGGUGGGUUGAGGGUAGGUGGAGAAGAAGCGCCGGCUAACUACGUGCCAGCAGCCGCGGUAAUACGUAGGGCGCGAGCGUUGUCCGGAAUUAUUGGGCGUAAAGGGCUUGUAGGCGGCUUGUUGCGCCUGCUGUGAAAACGCGGGGCUUAACUUCGCGCGUGCAGUGGGUACGGGCAGGCUUGAGUGUGGUAGGGGUGACUGGAAUUCCAGGUGUAGCGGUGGAAUGCGCAGAUAUCUGGAGGAACACCGAUGGCGAAGGCAGGUCACUGGGCCUUUACUGACGCUGAGGAGCGAAAGCAUGGGUAGCGAACAGG
Molecule: ribosomal RNA, 420 nt
Filed under: bacterium
Lineage: Bacteria
Description: partial 16S ribosomal RNA
Rfam family: Bacterial small subunit ribosomal RNA
Source: RNAcentral